This 379-nucleotide ribosomal RNA is filed under the name uncultured bacterium. RNAcentral describes it as "bacterial SSU rRNA". It matches the Rfam family "Bacterial small subunit ribosomal RNA", at positions 28 to 408 of the family's 1533-position model. The record is from RNAcentral.
GACGAACGCUGGCGGCGUGCUUAACACAUGCAAGUCGAGCGGUAAGGCCCUUUCAGGGGUACACGAGCGGCGAACGGGUGAGUAACACGUGGGUGACCUGCCCUCAGCUCUGGGAUAAGCCUGGGAAACUGGGUCUAAUACUGGAUAUGACUCCACGGUGCAUGUCGUGGGGUGGAAAGCCUUGUGCGGCUGAGGAUGGGCCCGCGGCCUAUCAGCUUGUUGGUGGGGUGAUGGCCUACCAAGGCGACGACGGGUAGCCGGCCUGAGAGGGCGACCGGCCACACUGGGACUGAGACACGGCCCAGACUCCUACGGGAGGCAGCAGUGGGGAAUCUUGCGCAAUGGGCGAAAGCCUGACGCAGCGACGCCGCGUGAGGGA